GCGGGGAUGCCGGAGUGGCCAAACGGGCACGGUUCAGGGCCGUGUAGCUCAGUGCUUACGUGGGUUCGAAUCCUACUCCCCGCA
RNAcentral lists this transfer RNA (84 nucleotides) under Candidatus Woesearchaeota archaeon. RNAcentral describes it as "tRNA-Leu". It matches the Rfam family "tRNA". From Rfam's summary of the family: Transfer RNA (tRNA) molecules are approximately 80 nucleotides in length. Their secondary structure includes four short double-helical elements and three loops (D, anti-codon, and T loops). Further hydrogen bonds mediate the characteristic L-shaped molecular structure. tRNAs have two regions of fundamental functional importance: the anti-codon, which is responsible for specific mRNA codon recognition, and the 3' end, to which the tRNAs corresponding amino acid is attached (by aminoacyl-tRNA synthetases). tRNAs cope with the degeneracy of the genetic code in two manners: having more than one tRNA (with a specific anti-codon) for a particular amino acid; and 'wobble' base-pairing, i.e. permitting non-standard base-pairing at the 3rd anti-codon position. The record is from RNAcentral. Lineage: Archaea; Nanobdellati; Candidatus Woesearchaeota.